Long non-coding RNA from Alnus glutinosa, 711 nucleotides. RefSeq lists it as uncharacterized. The transcript has 2 exons. The record is from RefSeq and is a predicted model, not a curated record. Lineage: Eukaryota; Viridiplantae; Streptophyta; Magnoliopsida; Fagales; Betulaceae.
GCCCCUCAAAAGUAUGAAAGAAAAAAAAAACAUCUUAAUCCCUCCAAAAUCGAAAAAUUCUGAAGUAGCUUAAGCUAUAAAUAUAGGCAAUUUUUGUUAUUGGUUGGCAUAAGUAAGGAGCACAUGGCCAAGACUCUAAAAUCUGUUUAUAUGCUUCUCGUAUUCAUUAUCUUCAUCUUCCUUACAAGUGUGGCAAUAGAAGAGAUUUCCCAGAAAUAUUGCUCGCGUUUGAGCACAACAUGGCAUAAAACAUGUCGAGUGACACAAUUCUGUGACAAAAAAUGCAAAGAAUUGGAGCAUGCGGAUCACGGAGCAUGCAGGCGGUCUUCUUUGUGGUCCUUCAGUAAUAAAUGUUACUGCCUCUUCAAGUGUUGAAUAUGAGAUAUGAUAUGUUUACAAUCUUUGUAUAACUCAUGUUUAACCUUUUUUCAAACUAAUUAUUGAAUUUAUUUUCUUACAUGUGAGUCAUAUAUAUCUUAGAUAGGAGUUGUACAAAAGUUGUAAACGUAUAGUAUAUAUCUCGUUGAUUAUAGGCAAUUUGAAACAGGCGAGAACGGAUUGGUUUUAGAGAUACUAUAUGAGUUUUCCAUAUAUGCGUUUUAAGAUGUUUGUGGUCGUUGUAUAUAUUAUCCUGUAAUGUUUGUUCUUUUGGAUAAAUAUGUUUUCAACUUACCUGUUUCAUCAAUAUAUGUUAAGGAAAUUUGAAGGGUA